CCUACGGGAGGCAGCAGUGGGGAAUCUUGUGCAAUGGACGAAAGUCUGACACAGCCACGCCGCGUGCGGGAAGAAGGCCUUCGGGUUGUAAACCGCUUUCAGCAGGAACGAAAAUGACGGUACCUGCAGAAGAAGAUGCGGCCAACUACGUGCCAGCAGCCGCGGUGAUACGUAGGCAUCAAGCGUUGUCCGGAUUUAUUGGGCGUAAAGAGCUCGUAGGCGGUUCAGCAAGUCGGGUGUGAAAACUCUGGGCUUAACCCAGAGCCUGCACUCGAAACUGCUGUGACUAGAGUUCGGUAGGGGAGCAGGGAAUUCCUAGUGUAGCGGUGAAAUGCGCAGAUAUUAGGAGGAACACCAAUGGCGAAGGCACUGCUCUGGGCCGAUACUGACGCUGAGGAGCGAGAGCGUGGGUAGCAAACAGGAUUAGAUACCCUGGUAGUCCACGCCGUAAACGAUGGGCACUAGGUGUGGGUCUCUAACCAACGAGAUCUGCGCCGUCGCUAACGCAUUAAGUGCCCCGCCUGGGGGAGGUACGGUCGUCGAGACGUUAAACUUACGUAAGAAGUUAGACGGCGNGAGAGNGCGACGGACGACGACGAGGGAGGAGG
RNAcentral lists this ribosomal RNA (608 nucleotides) under uncultured bacterium. Its description in RNAcentral is "bacterial SSU rRNA". The stretch from base 1 to 522 matches the Rfam family "Bacterial small subunit ribosomal RNA", at positions 338 to 873 of the family's 1533-position model. The record is from RNAcentral.